RNAcentral lists this ribosomal RNA (467 nucleotides) under uncultured bacterium. Its description in RNAcentral is "partial 16S ribosomal RNA". It matches the Rfam family "Bacterial small subunit ribosomal RNA", at positions 28 to 507 of the family's 1533-position model. The record is from RNAcentral.
GAUGAACGCUGGCGGCGUGCUUAACACAUGCAAGUCGAACGGAAAGGCCCAAGCUUGCUUGGGUACUCGAGUGGCGAACGGGUGAGUAACACGUGGGUGAUCUGCCCUGCACUUCGGGAUAAGCCUGGGAAACUGGGUCUAAUACCGGAUAGGACCACUUCCUGGAUGUUGUGGUGGAAAGUUUUUUCGGUGUGGGAUGAGCUCGCGGCCUAUCAGCUUGUUGGUGGGGUAAUGGCCUACCAAGGCGUCGACGGGUAGCCGGCCUGGGAGGGUGUACGGCCACAUUGGGACUGAGAUACGGCCCAGACUCCUACGGGGGGCAACAGUGGGGGAUAUUGCACAAUGGGCGCGAGCCUGAUGCAGCGACGCCGCGUGGGGGAUGACGGCCUUCGGGUUGUAAACUCCUUUCGCUAGGGACGAAGCGUUUUGUGACGGUACCUGGAGAAGAAGCACCGGCUAACUACGUG